This 483-nucleotide ribosomal RNA is filed under the name uncultured bacterium. Its description in RNAcentral is "partial 16S ribosomal RNA". It matches the Rfam family "Bacterial small subunit ribosomal RNA", at positions 30 to 507 of the family's 1533-position model. The record is from RNAcentral.
UUGAACGCUGGCGGCAGGCCUAACACAUGCAAGUCGAGCGGAUGAAGGGAGCUUGCUCCUGGAUUCAGCGGCGGACGGGUGAGUAAUGCCUAGGAAUCUGCCUGGUAGUGGGGGAUAACGUCCGGAAACGGGCGCUAAUACCGCAUACGUCCUGAGGUAGAAAGUGGGGGAUCUUCGGACCUCACGCUAUCAGAUGAGCCUAGGUCGGAUUAGCUAGUUGGUGGGGUAAAGGCCUACCAAGGCGACGAUCCGUAACUGGUCUGAGAGGAUGAUCAGUCACACUGGAACUGAGACACGGUCCAGACUCCUACGGGAGGCAGCAGUGGGGAAUAUUGGACAAUGGGCGAAAGCCUGAUCCAGCCAUGCCGCGUGUGUGAAGAAGGUCUUCGGAUUGUAAAGCACUUUAAGUUGGGAGGAAGGGCAGUAAGUUAAUACCUUGCUGUUUUGACGUUACCAACAGAAUAAGCACCGGCUAACUUCGUG